Oryctolagus cuniculus (rabbit) is the source of this 7525-nucleotide non-coding RNA. NCBI's taxonomy places the organism in Eukaryota, Metazoa, Chordata, Mammalia, Lagomorpha, Leporidae. The record is from RefSeq and is a predicted model, not a curated record.
AAGCAAGCAGCCUUGAACAAAUCAUUCAACUCAUUGCAGCUGAUAUAUCCAUUGCCAUCGGUAUCUGUAACGCAAAGGACGCACUGAAGCCGUGGGACCAUUCAGGCUGAGCGCACAGAGGCAAGGGGGCACUAGCGAGCAGGCAACCUAACUGGGGAGGAAGAGAAUACAGGAUUGAGAUCUGUGCAAGUUAAUUCUAAAGUACCACACGAAGCGGUGAUUCCUGUUUACUUAAUGGAGAAAUAGUCUUUUGCAUCUCUCAUGGUGUCUCUCUGCUGUGGCCUGGGAAAGCAGUGGAAGAUGAAUCAAGUACUUGGGCUGCUGCACCCACGUGGGAGACCCGGAAGAAGCUCCUGGCUCCUGGCAGUGCAGCUUUAGCCAUUGUGGCCAAUUGGGGAGUGAAGCAGCAGAUGGAAGAUUUCUCUCUCUCUCUCUCUGCCUCUCCUUCUCUCUCUGUGUAACACUUUCAAAUAAAUAAAUAAAUCUUUAAAAAAAGAAAGUAAGUCAGAGGUAGGCUUUUUCUCAGUCCUGCAUGCGGUGGUCUCCGAGCAUGACCCUCAACAAUUUACCCCCUCCCGCCAUGUAUACACAUUGCUUUUCACAUCAAGAGCUACAGCUUAUUCCUCUCCCCUCAGUUAAGGGCUGGGCUUGCGGUUGCUUUGACAGCAGGUGAUGUGAAGAACAUCUGAAACUGGAAAUCUUGGCCUCCUUCCUUUUGGAUUAGGAUACUCCCUCUUGGUACCACACUGCUGUGCUGUGAGAUGCUGAAGCCACACAAAGAAGUCAAUGAAUGAGAACUGGGUGCUUUGAUUGACAGUCCUUGUUGAGCUCCCAGAUGACAGCCAGCAUCAACUAGCAGCCACCUGAGAGCCCAUCUGACCUAAAUAACCAUGGUCCCAGCCAACAUCACAUGGAGCAGCAAAGCCACUGAGCUGUGCUCAAUCAGAAUACAGAAAUAUUUUUGUAGUUUGUCAUACAGCAAUACACAACUAACACACUUUGACAUACAUGUCUUUUUUACACACUUUUACAUAAAUGUCUUCAUAUUCAUAGUACAAAUGACAUGUUUAGCAAAGCCAACAAGUACAUUUUAUAACUUCAAAUGGAGCCAGUUGUCUAUAUAUUUAUGGAUGAAUGAAGGGAAUCUGACCCUUUAAUAAUUCAUAUAUUGCAUUUGGGGGCACUGUUUGUUUCCUUUGAAGAAAGCUAGUCUUGCUGACAGACAAUGCUGGUCCUUGACUAAGUUCCUUUUCCCUGUGUGCAUUAUUGCUGUCCUCUAGUGGGGAGAAAGAGAAUGAAACAGAAAGUACAUUCUCUUUCCCAGGCCCUUAGCUAAUCCACACCUGCAGGUUUCCAAUAGGCUUAUUGGAUCUCCUGGUGGGAAGAGUUAAGUGGAAUGGUGAGAGUGGAGGAUGGAGUAUUUCAAUCUAUAAUUAUAUUUUGUGGAUACUUUAGUGGAAAUGAUUUUCCAAAUACUUUAAAUUUGUGACAAGCUGUUUUAAAUUGAUUUCAUCUUGGUAUUUUUGUACCAUUCUAUAUUGUUGUUUUGUUCUUGAUGGCAACUUACAAGCACACAAAAAAGGAAGCAUUUUUAACACUGAAACCUAUAGACCCCAAAUAUAUGACACUCGAUUUUACAAAUCCACAUCCAUUAUCCACCAACUUAUUAUCCUGCUGCAUACAUAUGUUGGUGUUUUCAAACUUUUGCUUCCCCAAGCAACUCUUUAUUGACAAAAAUGUCACAUUGAUAUAAAGCCAACAAAGCUGGAAUUUUGAGUCUUUACAAAACAGCAAUUUUGAGAGUCUUUGUUUGAAAAUAAUACAAAUGUCCUUGGCACUCCCUUCAUCUUAUUUUCUUGUUACCUGAUUGGUCUAUGAGAACUAUAUAUAUAUAUAUAUAUAUAUAUUUUUUUUUUACAGGCAGAGUGGAUAGUGAGAGAGAGAGACAGAGAGAAAGGUCUUCCUUUGCCGUUGGUUCACCCUCCAAUGGCCGCCGCGGCCGGCGCACCGCGCUGAUCUGAAGGCAGGAGCCAGGUGCUUCUCCUGGUCUCCCAUGGGGUGCAGGGCCCAAGUACUUGGGCCAUCCUCCACUGCACUCCCUGGCCACAGCAGAGAGCUGGCCUGGAAGAGGGGCAACCGGGACAGAAUCCGGCGCCCUGACCGGGACUAGAACCCGGUGUGCCAGCGCCGCUAGGUGGAGGAUUAGCCUAUUGAGCCGCGGCGCCGGCCCGAGAACUAUAUAUUAAUUCAAUUAAAAUCCAAUGUUUUAUCAAUACAAUUUUUAUUUUUAUUAUUUGCUUUAUAUAUCUAAGAAUAUAGUAACCCAUUGGGUUAUCUGAAGGAAAAUAAACAUUUUUGAGAUCUUAAUUGUAGAAAUAAACAAAAUCUCAUUUAUAUAUUAUAAUAACACAGAGGCAGAUACUGACUAGUUCAGUUUUUGUCUCCUUCCUUCCUACCCUCCCUCCUUCCUUCUGUCUUCUUUCUUUCUUUCUCUCUCUCUCCUCUCUCACUCUCUCUCGGCUUUAUCUACAAAUAAUUUUGAGCUAAGACACAAGGAUAUAUCCAAAGCCAAGGGUUAAGCUGACUAAAUGAUGCAACUGAUGAAAAGGAAAGUAGUGUGCAGGUGAAAUAAGAUGACGGCAGGGAGAGACUUUACUUAAAAUACACACACAGAGAUCCUGCAUGCUUUGGCAGACGUAGGCUGAAAAUCUAACUCAGGUUCUCCAUGGGCUAAUGCAAAGAGCAAAGUGUCAUCAGUUCUGUGAUUCCCUCCAUCCGUGUGAGACAAACAAACCCAUUCCUUCAGGCAACAGAACUGAGGUCUGACAACAAAAUCUUCAUCUAGGCUUUAAGAAGAGGAUGCUGGGGGUGCAAUAAACAAAAGCUUUGUUUUUCUUAUAAUGUCCCUCUCUGUAGGAUGAUGGCAUAUUCUCAUUUUAUAGAGUAGGAAACAAGCUCGGAGGGGCUAAGAUCUGUAUCUCAGAUCACACAGCUGGGCAGAGGCACAGUCAGGACCCAGUCUCAAGUCUUCACUCCUCUCCUACACCAUCUACUCAGCUUCCACACCUUCAAAUUCAAAACUAGACACUCAUUCUACCCACUCCUUCAUUCACUCAGCAAUUAUGCAUUAAAUGUCUAGAGUAUGUAUGGCCCCAUGGAAGAAUUCAAAAAUAACCUGUAAUGAGCCUAAGCAUUCCAACUGAGGAUCCUUCUGCACUCAUAGGCUAAGGGAUCAGGCUUCUGGUUGAAGACAUUAGUGUACAAUUCUGGGUAUGCUGUUAAAUUUUGGUGACUGAUUUCACUUGCCUCUCGCUUACACCCAUGCUCCACAAAUGCAUUAACAGAAGGCUCCCCCAUGAACAGAAGGAACAUCUUGUGGUAAAAUCUGGCCUAAACCCUACAGCUGGCUUGCACUUCAUACAUUCAGUGUCUUAACCUCUUGAUUCCUAGGUGUUCAUGGGACCAUGAGAUAUAUCUGUUCAUUAACACGUUUUAUGACUACCCACUAUAAGCAGGCACUGUUCUUCAUUCAACAUGAAACAAGUCUAUACUGAGUCAGUUAGUAACCCUAGAAGCAAGGAGGAAAAACAGAAUCUCUGGAUCUCAACCUGCCCUGCCCUUUGGUGUAGGAAUGUUAGAUUUUAGAGCCCUGUAAGAGACUGGUGAGAAAGCGAAGCACCAGUAGGGAAUGAAACCAUUUGUUAAGUGUCAAGAGCAGGGUCAGAGAAGAAACAAAAGAAGUGCAGUGCUGGGUAAUAAUGAAAAUCUUUAAAAAAUUUAAAAAAGAUUAUGGUAUAGUGAAAAAAGUAAAGCAAAUAUUUCAGCAUUAACACCAACAUUGUAUGACCCAUUCAAAUAAAAACAGAUGAAGAAAAAAACAGGUUAUUUUAAAAUCAUGUCCUUUGAAUCUAUAAUUUAUUUAUUUGAGGGGGAGAGAUAAUAACAGAGAGAGAGUAGGCUCCCAUCUGCUGGUUCACUCCCCACAUGCCCACAAUGGGGCCAGGUUGAAGACAACAGCCUUCAACUCCAUCCAGUUCUGCCACAUAAGAGGCAGGGACUCAACUGUUUCAGCCAUUACUACUGCUCCCCAGGUGCACAUUAGCAGGAAACUGUAUUCAAGAACAGAGCCAGGACUUGAACCCAGGCACUGAUAUGGGAAGUGGGUGUCCUAACGGGCAUCUUACCCUGAGACUAAAUGCCAUCCCCACCGUGUGGUUUUUAAACCAUGGCAGACAGGUCAAUAUGCAAAAUUUUCAGCAUCUGUAACAACACUUUGCUAACACAUUUGUGAGUGGGGAGGAUCAUCAGACAGAAACCACCUAGUGAGAAGUAUGUCAAAUCACAAAAAUCCAACCCUUCACUGACUUAACAGCUAAAGCAAAAGAGAAGUGGAUUGAAUUAGUUUAAAAGAUGAACUGGAGAAGGACUGGCCAAUGGCUAAGUUGCUGUGACACAGUUUGUUGUUGUUGGACCCAAACACAAAUAGGUAUCUGGGUAGAGUCUUUUUUUUUUUUUACCAUUCCAGGAGCAUUGAGUCAUGGAAACACAACCUAACUUUUAGGAACAUAAGGAAGCUUAGGAAUAACUUAUUUCAACUCCCUCCUUUCAUAAGAGAAGGAAAUGAAAGGUACAAUGAGACGAGAUGCUGUCUAUGCACACAUUCCUUAAGGCAGUGCCAGGCGGGCAGUGGCAAAGGGGCAGAGCAGGGAAAGGAUAGAAUUCCCAGGGCCAUUAACGUCCACAACAGAGAAGAGACCCUUUAGCUAAUUGAACUGAAUGUGCAUUUGCAGAAAGCAGAGCAACAGGAAGAGAACAUAAUUAACUUAAAAAACAUGCAGGUCAGGCCAUUUCGAAGAAUACUGUUGGUGUUAGAAACAAACACUGGUUACAUAGUCUGCCUUUGCCUGGGGGAAAAGCAUCCAAUUUAAUUCAUGCUUAUUUCAAGGUGUGAGUUACCAGAACAUUAGUAAAAUUAGUAAGGAUAACUGGUGAGAGCUACAGUUUGCAAAUCGCUGGCACUAUAUUGGCAGCAAACUGGAGAGACCACUGCAGUCAUGGGUCACGUGCAGUGUUACGUGUGGUGUUGGGAGCCUGAGCAGAGGGCUGCAGAGGGCACGGGUCGUCCAAGGCGUGAGCAGGCAGUUCUUUCAGAGUUGCUUUACUGCUCUGCAUCCACGCUGGCCCUUAUUUAAUGACUGCAUCGUCUAAGUUUGCCCUGCCCUAAGUUUGACAUCUUAAGUUCUCUUGUGCAUCAGUGGUAAAUUUUGGAACUCUGCUUCUGACUUAAUGCCGACAUCAUAAAUCUAAGAAGACAAAUCUCAGAUCAUCCAUCCACAUCAUGUCUGGUUGCUAGAGUGCUUUCUGUGAGCACUUACAUUUAUUAAAUCAGUAGCUGUAGCUGUGCCUCUUCUGAUCCAGCUCUCUGCUAUGGCCUGGGAAAGCAGUAGAAGAUGGCCCAAGCGCUUGGGCCCUGCACCUGUGUGGGAUACUGGAGGAAGCUCAGAUCGGCUUAGCUCCAGCCACUGAAGCCAUCUGGGGAGUGAACCAGCAGAUGGAAGACCUCUCUCUCUGCCUCUCUCCCUCUCUCUCUCUCUAACUCCACCUCUCAAAUAAAUAGAAAAAUAAAUAAAAUCUUAAAAAAAACCCAGUAGCUGUAGACCCCAAGACGUUUGGUCAAAGAAUGUACCAAGCAUUCACUUUUAAAAAAACUGAUAAGAUCAUUUUAAAAAAUUUCAAUUCCCUUAGGACAGUAAAGUUUGAGUUUCUGCUUAAAGGGAGCUGGUACUUCCCAGAUCGGCAGUGAAAGGGAAUUUCUGAGAAUGGUUAUUAUGAAAGUACUCGACACAAGGUUCCUGAAGUCUGAAUAGAGAAACUACUUGCAGGAGUUUAUUAUCGAACGCAGUGCUGCAGAAUUUACAGGAGGAAGUGAAGCCUCUGACGUGCAUGUAAAAGUGUAACUGGAAUUUCUCUGAGGAGUUUCAGAACUGAUCAUGAACACAGAAGAAAGGAGAGAGAAAGGAGUGAGAUGCUCCCGGGUGACAACCACUCCUGGAAGCUGGCAGUGCUGUGCUGGCCAUGUUGUGAUUCAAUACACAGAUGCCCAGUUACAUAACCUGGCAGGAUCAGGGAGGCACCUGUAACCUGGCCUUCUAACACCAAGGAACUCUUUUGAAUGUGUCCCACUUUUCCUGCAACCUGACUCGGUGGUUAAAGUAAAACUGGAUACUCAGGACUCAAAUUCCUGAAGCUCUACCUCAAUAUUUUUAGUACACAUCCAGCACAGUGGAAUUAUCCAGCUUCCAAACUCCUCAAGGCUUAAUGAGUAAUCCAAAACACCAUGGCAUCUAGAACAACACGAAUAUCGCAAUCUUUAGCAUUAGACUAGGAUGACUAAAGAAAUGAAACAUAAAACAUAUAGUACUCGGAAGCAAAAUAAAGUACCCAUAUACUCUUAUAGAAAGCCAUCAAGAUACAACCAAAUAAGGAAAAAAAAAUCUUUGCUUUCACUUAAUCCCACCUUCUUCGUGUUACAAAGCAGCCUGCAGGAGGGGCUCCGACUUUGAGAAUACGCAGUAGCUUACUCUGUAUUCUCGGGAGACCAUUUCCCGGAUGGAUACGGGGUUGCCUGACUUUUGGGUAAAGGAUGAUUCUGAAAGUACAUUUUAAAAAUAACCUCAUUUUCAAAAACCAAAUGGCCUUACGUGGCCUCAGCCAUCUAAAGGGACACUCCUGAGCCAUUCCUGAAGCCACGGUCUCCUCUAGGUUGUCUUCCUCGUCCUGUGGGCGUGCUGCUCUCCCCUGGUCUGUGCCAGAGUGCAGCCUUCUAAUCUCUGCCUCACGUGGAAGGGCAGACAAGGCUGGGCACAGAGAUUCUCCUCGGACACCCUCCGGGUGGUGCAGACUCACGGGAAGCCAGCGGCUGGUUGCUCCAAGCCUGAUGAGCCCGGGACUACACUGGGAGCCUCUGUGGCAUUGAGCACUCCACGGAGGGGCUCCUGAAGCCGUGUGGAGUCAGGCACACAGGCGCGGGCCCCCUCACCGACCACGGAGUUCUCAUCCUUGCCUCCUGCCCUCUGAUACCUCCCCCCCACCCCGACAUUGCCAGCCACAUUUCUGAUACCUCCCCCAUUCCUGAUAACCAGCCCUAGUGACACACAGCCAAGCUCUUGUGAGAAAGGGGACACUCCAGGCUGGGGCUUCUCGGUGACUCAGCUCCUCUCUCCUUCCCUAGGCUGUAGACAGUGAUGCUCGCCAUGCUACAUCUGGAAAAUCCACAGCCCCUCUCCAUUUGGGGCUUGACCACAGGGACUUUACGAUCCAGACUUCGCCCCUACUGAGGGCUCAGGGACUCCCCAGUGCAUUUUCUCCCUGAGGCCCACGGACUCAGGCCCUGACACCAGAUCACCUGCUACUCUGAGGCCUCUGAAUGCCACUGAAAAAGUCACAAAAACACCGACCUGGAACCCUAGGAAUUCAGGCUGCUUGAUUUCAGUGACUUCUGAGAAAUACGAGGGGUCUGCAGAAA